ACGCUCGACACCUACGGGAGACAGCAGUGGGGAAUAUUGCACAAUGGGGGAAACCCGUGAUGCAGCGACGCCGCGUGAGCGAAGAAGUAUUUCGGUAUGUAAAGCUCUAUCAGCAGGGAAGAAACUGACGGUACCUGACUAAGAAGCACCGGCUAAAUACGUGCCUGCAGCCGCGGUAAUCUGAGCGGGCUGGCAAGGC
Molecule: ribosomal RNA, 199 nt
Filed under: uncultured bacterium
Lineage: Bacteria
Description: partial 16S ribosomal RNA
Rfam family: Bacterial small subunit ribosomal RNA
Source: RNAcentral